GUGCUCACUUUGGCAGCACAUAUACUAAAAUUUGAAUGAUACCGAGAUUAACAUGGCCCCUGUGCAAGGAUGACGUGCAAAUUCAUGAAGCGUUCCAAAUUUUU
Jaculus jaculus (lesser Egyptian jerboa) is the source of this 104-nucleotide small nuclear RNA. The record is from Ensembl. Lineage: Eukaryota; Metazoa; Chordata; Mammalia; Rodentia; Dipodidae.